This 898-nucleotide ribosomal RNA is filed under the name uncultured bacterium. RNAcentral's name for it is "bacterial SSU rRNA". It matches the Rfam family "Bacterial small subunit ribosomal RNA", at positions 50 to 949 of the family's 1533-position model. The record is from RNAcentral.
UAUACAUGCAGUCGAACGCGACAGUUUACUGUCGAGUGGCGAACGGGUGAGUAAUACAUAAGUAACCUGCCUUAACUAGGGGGAUAACUAUUGGAAACGAUAGCUAAUACCGCAUAGGUGUAACCAUCGCAUGAUGGUUACAUUAAAGGAGCUCCUGGCUUCGAGAUAAGAUGGACUUAUGGCGCAUUAGCCAGUUGGUGAGGUAACGGCUCACCAAGGCGACGAUGCGUAGCCGACCUGAGAGGGUGACCGGCCACACUGGGACUGAGACACGGCCCAGACUCCUACGGGAGGCAGCAGUAGGGAAUUUUCGGCAAUGGGGGAAACCCUGACCGAGCAACGCCGCGUGAAGGAAGAAGGUUUUCGGAUUGUAAACUUCUGUUAUAAAGGAAGAAUGGCUAUUACAGGAAAUGGUAGUAGAAUGACGGUACUUUAUGAGAAAGCCACGGCUAACUACGUGCCAGCAGCCGCGGUAAUACGUAGGUGGCAAGCGUUAUCCGGAAUUAUUGGGCGUAAAGAGGGAGCAGGCGGCAAUGAAGGUCUGCGGUGAAAGACUGAAGCUCAACUUCAGUAAGCCGUGGAAACCAAAUAGCUAGAGUGCAUUAGAGGAUCGUGGAAUUCCAUGUGUAGCGGUGAAAUGCGUAGAUAUAUGGAGGAACACCAGUGGCGAAGGCGACGAUCUGGGAUGCAACUGACGCUCAGUCCCGAAAGCGUGGGGAGCAAAUAGGAUUAGAUACCCUAGUAGUCCACGCCGUAAACGAUGAGUACUAAGUGUUGGGGGUCGAACCUCAGUGCUGCAGUUAACGCAAUAAGUACUCCGCCUGAGUAGUACGUUCGCAAGAAUGAAACUCAAAGGAAUUGACGGGGGCCCGCACAAGCGGUGGAGCAUGUGGUUUAA